This 5316-nucleotide long non-coding RNA is filed under the name Manihot esculenta (cassava). RNAcentral's name for it is "long non-coding RNA (MESC_LNC003276)". Lineage: Eukaryota; Viridiplantae; Streptophyta; Magnoliopsida; Malpighiales; Euphorbiaceae. The record is from RNAcentral.
AUCGGUUCGAUUCGAUUCGAUUUCUGAUCAAAAUCGGUUCGGUUCGAUUUUCACAAACACUAAAAUUUCGAUUUUCAAUUUAUUUAAUUCAGUUCGAUUUUAAACCGAACCGACCGAAUGCUAACCCUAAUCUCUUGUAGUUGUAAACCUCUGAUUUUGUACUGCAUAUACAGUACAAUCUCAAUGAUGAAAACUAAAUUUGGUCUGAACACAUUUGAAGCAAAUUAAAGAGUUUUUAGUAGGUGUCUUAUGCCAUGAAAAAUUAAAAAAAAAAAAAAGACAGAAAAUAAUAAAAAUUUGAAAAUGAGUUGAAGGAUUAAAUAACAGGGAGAAUUGAACUUCAAUUUUGGGCCAUUUAGCCAAAAGUUUGGUCUGUGGGCCUCAUUUAUUUUUUUAAAGUAUUUUCUAUGAGGCUUAAGGUUCAUUUGGGUUUUGAGAAGAAUAGAUUCAAACUUAAAAAAAUAGUGUUGACAGAGAAGGCUUUGGUCGUUGGCCCAUUCAGACAACUAGAGGAGCAUGGAGAUGAUUUUACAAUUUUUAAUAAUUUACGAGAGACUUUAGGAAAAUAAUUAAAAUUUAAUUGAGUUAAAAUUAGCUCCUAAUCAGCCUACGAAAUCCAAAUUAACCGGCCAAACUAAGGGAGAGAGGGAGAUUUUAUUUUCUUUUUUGGGUUUUCCUAUUUAUUCAUCUCAUUCUCUCUCAAAAUCCUAACUUGAACACAUACUCAAAGUUCCCUUUCAUUCCAACCGACCUUCCCAAUCUCCAUAUUCUAAAAUUCUCUCGACUCACUCACUAAGAAAAAUCAAGAAACCCCCUCUUCCUUAGACCUAACCGCUGCCCCCCUCCUCUUCUCGUACUCCCAAAUUUCUUCUUUUUUUUUUUCAUUGUUUUAAUAAAACAUAAAUAAUUUCAAAAAUAAGUAUUCAUGAUAUAAAAUCAACUUCUUUCAUAUUAUUCACUUUAUUUUAAUAUAUUGAUCGCCUCCUAUAUUAAUUUUGAUGUGAAAUUUGAAGGUAACACCAUUUUUGUGCAUGUUUGGCUUAGAGGCACCUACAUUAUGAACCACUGAACCACUUAUUUUGAAUAAUUAUUACAUUUUAAUUCUAUAUAAUUUCAUAUAUUAUUUGCCUUGAUAUAAUUUUCUACAAUUGAUUAUGAAUUUUUAAUAUUUAAAGAGACAAUGAAAUUACAUUAAUCUAUAUCGGCAAGUAGUAGGGGUGUAAACGAACAAAACCGUUCGUGAGCUAUUCGAAGUUCGAUUCGAUAAAAUCUCGACCGAGCUCGACUCGAUUUCUAAACGAGCCAAGCUCGAGCUUAAUUUUUAGGCUCGUUUAGUAAACGAGCCAAGGUUGAGCUCCAUAGUAUUCGACUCGUUAAGGCUCGUGAGCUCGGCUCGUUUUUGAGUUCAUGAGCAGGCUCGCGAAUAGACUCGUGAACAGUCUCGUUAAGCAAACUGAAAUUACUAUCAUAAGAGAAAUAAACUCAAACCCUGCAUAUAUUUUAAUGAGCAAAAUCUAAAUUUUUUAAAAUUCAGCUCUAUAUAGUUUAGUUACACUCUUAAACUUGCAUAUAUUUGGAUCAUUGGGAUUUAAAAACUCAUUUUUAUAAGCUUACAUGCUAAUUUGUAGAUAUACUUAUUUAACUAAAAUUAUUUUAGUUUUAAACUUAUUAGUUUUAAACUAAAGUUCAUUAUACAUGUAAAUAAAUUAAAUUACUCGUGAACUAUUCGAGACUCAGUUCGAUUAAAGCUCGACUCAACUCGAUAAAAGCUCGACUCGUCUAAGCUCGUUUGUUAAACGAGCCAAGCUUGAGUUUCUUAAUACUCGGCUCGAGUUCGAUAUGAGUAAAGCUCGAAUUCGGCUCGAGCUCGAAAAAAUUUUAACGAACCAAGCUUGAACUCUUCAAAUCUCGGCUUGGCUCGGUUCGUUUACACCUCUAGCAAGUAGCAUGAUUUCAAAGACAUGUAAUUUGGCCUUCUAUUCGCAAAAUAAGGUGACUUUUGAGCAUAAAUUAAGUUUUAGAAGUGAACUAAAUUUCUUAUACUUUGAAUUUUUCAUAUUUAAAUAUGUGAAUAAGUGGUAUAUCGCAUACAAAAUCGAUGUUUAAAAUUUAUCAAUUUCUAGAAUAACUAUAUUGCAAAGUUCAUAUCUUGAGUUUUAUUAAUGAUUUUGAGUUGAUUCUUUUCUUAUUGUUUUGUUCUAUAUUUCUAGUUUAUAAAAUUUUAAAUUUUUCUGAGUUGAUUUAUUAUUUUUUUAAAAAUUUUAAAUCUUGAUAUCAUAAUCUACCAUGAUCAGGUAUGCUCAUUAUAGUAUAUUCCUUUUGUAUUAUUUUAAUUUUAAUUACAUAUUUGGUGUUUUGAUUUUUUUUAUAGUAUAUUCUUUUUGUGUUCUUUUAAUUUUAAUUACAUAUUUGGUGUUUUGACUUUUUUUAUUUGUGUUAUUAACAUUUUUUUUUGUCUUAGAAUAGGAGCUAAUGGAGGCUAGAAUUCUCCUUACACUCUUCUUGGCUGAAAUUGUAUUUCCAAAUUGGGAGAUGAUUUUGCUUACAUUAUUUGACUAGGAUAAUCUUCUUUUUUUUUUUAAUUUUCAAAUAUGAUUUGGUUUAUUUUCUUUGUUGUAAUUUUAUUUUAUUUUAUUAUUUGCUUCUUAUUUUAUUUUUUCCUAUUAUGAAAAUUUUAGUUUUGGUAAUUGAGCAUCAAAGAAAGAAGGAUAGCACAUUCUUGUCUUAUUUUUAACCAUGGCCUGCGCCCUCUCCCAUCCUUGGCUUGAGUUGCUUGUUUUAGUAGAUCAAUGGUUGAUCCAAGCAGCCCAUGGGCAUCUUUGAAGACUCUUUGCAAAGGGUUAUGAUUUUAAAGACUUUGUAAUAAUUUAUUUUAAAUUAUUUUAAUUAUAUUUAGAAUGUAAUUAGUUCUUUUCUCCUUCCUUCUUUGUUUAGUUGUAGGGUUAGAUUGUAAUGCUUUUCUCCUCCUUUUUUUUUGGAUGUUUUAAUUAAUUUUUUGCACCUCACCUUAACAUGCAUGAAAUUGUGAUUAGUAAACUUAGGAAAUCACUUAGUAAUUCUAUAAGAAACUUUGCAUGGUUAGAUAUAUGGUUGGUAUGAUUAGGAGUGUUCCUCACUUUGACAUGAAAAUGUCUAAGUAGUAAAAUCCUUAGGACAAGUUAAAUAUAAAAAUGAGUUUAAGAUGCAUGCUUAGAAACCUAGUGACACCUUUAUUUACUAUGUGUGUGGGUGUAUAAAUUCUCUAGAUUGUUUAGAGGUCUCCUCUUUCUAAAACAUUACCAUGGGAUUAGAUAUUUUAUUCACUCAAUGAAGAGCAAAGGAAAGGAGUCGCUAGCUUAUUAAGAAUACAAAAUAUGUGGUUAAGAGACUUAUUUUCUAGUAGAGGUCCAUUAUCCUUCAUAAUCCAUGACCCAAUAGUCUAGGUUUGGGAUAGUAAGUAAUAGAGAGGAAAGGUGUUAGGUAUCCUUCUUGCCUAAAACUUACUACUGAAAACCUAAACCACUAGUGAACCCUUUGGCAUCCAACUUCAACUAAAACAUGUUUUGCUAGUUCCAUUAGACACUUGGGUAUGAUACUAAUAAUUGCUAUAGGUUCAAGCAUGAAAUUCAAGAUCUCUUUGAUAGUGGGGAUUUCAUUCAGCAAAAUAAAUCAUACUAAAAAAUGGAUGGGGCAAGCUCAAGCACAUCUCCCUUGUCCUCUAAGAGAUAUUCAACUGAACGAAUAGGAACUCUGUAAAAGAUUAGAUCAAAGCUCAUUGGAGUUCAUUCUGUAAUAUGACUAAAAUUUUCUAUUAAUAAAAUUAAAAUUCGCUUUGCCUUUGUCUCCUACUUUUAUCUUGUUUAUAUUCAUACGAUUGAGAAAUCUAAGCAUGGUUCUUCCUAAUCAAUGUGCAAUUAUGUGAUAAAAGGUCCAUUUAAGCAUUGCAUCAACUCAUGCAUCAUACUAACUCCUUAUGUUGUACAACCAUCAUAUCACCAAAGUCAAUUAAGAAGACAACUAGUCCCGGCUUAAAAAGGGUGACAAACUAUUAAUGACUAAGCUGAUAAGGAUUACUGUGAUUGAAAGCUCAGAAGUUUGGGUUAGGUUUGCUAGCCAUCAUGCCUGAGAGGGAAGAGACUAGGGCUAUACUUAAUGAAUUGCUUGAUGAAGCCUUAAAUAGCAAGAUGAAGAGAGCAUAUAUGGGGAAAAACUAAUGGAAGAAGAUAGAAGGACCAAGAGAGCCUUAGAGGUGAAAGGAGGAUCCGACGGAGAAUAUCUUUAUGAUGAAGAGUGCAACCCAAAGAAGAAGAUAACUAAUAAGGCAAGCCAGAUGAAUAAGGCUUACUAUUCCUUAAAGAAGAAGAUGUAUAAGUUUAAAGCUAACUCAAGAAGCAACCUCAGCUUUAAGAGAUGAUUUAGGACUCCGAGUGUAAGUUCUAAUUGAUGAGUAAGUUUAAGAUAUUAUCUUUGCCUAAAUUUUAUAGGCUUGAAGAUCUAACCAUUCAUAAAAAGCAAUAUCUACUUAUCAUGAAAACAAUAGUGGAUGGCUAAAUUAUGUACUUUUUCAUUGUAUCAUUAGAAAGAGUUGCCAUGUCAUGGUAUUACAAUUUAGAAAAUGAUAUUAGAAAGGAUUGGGAUAGUUUGAUUGAGGCAUUCAUUGGGCAUUAUUCAUACAACACUAUGUUGGAUGUCAGUAAAAAAAAAUUGGAGGCCAUCAAGCAAAAUGAGAAAUUUGUUGGAUUCCUAAUGAGGUGGUGAAAGAAAGUUGCCUUAUGAUUCGACGACCAACAAAGAAGGAGCAGAUUAGAAUGUUGAUCAAGAAUUUAUGAUUCAUUUGCCAUGAAAAGAUGUAUUAUUUACUCAAUUUCUAAUUUUAAAGAACCUAUGGUAGCAACCUUUAGUAGAUUGAGGAAUGAAGGGCUACUUCAACCUUUGAUGGAUACCCCGCAGCCAAAUCCAUUAUCCAAGAAAUUCAAGAGAGAAUCAUUCCAUGAAUUCUUUCAAAUUUCUAGUCAUGACACUAACAAGUAUAGGCACCUUCAUCAUGAGAUCUAAGGCCUCAUUAAUGAACAGAAGAUAGCUGACCUGGAGAAUAAAGGCACAAAUAAAGACUUUGACACCUGAGAAGAUAAAGAUAGACUUGCACAAUAAAUAAGAAACAUGCCUAUGAAUAAGUCUAAUGAAUCUAAUGCAAGUAUUAAUGAAAGACUAUUUUUUCUUUCUUGUUUGAUUUCCAUCUUAAAAUUCAAAAUGCAUAUUAUUUAGAGUCAUUUAGAUCCAUUUUUAAUUAAUACAUUGAACUUUAUCUUUGUUAACAUGGGUAUACUAAAAUCCUAA